This 607-nucleotide ribosomal RNA is filed under the name uncultured bacterium. Its description in RNAcentral is "bacterial SSU rRNA". The stretch from base 1 to 522 matches the Rfam family "Bacterial small subunit ribosomal RNA", at positions 338 to 873 of the family's 1533-position model. The record is from RNAcentral.
CCUACGGGAGGCAGCAGUGGGGAAUAUUGGGCAAUGGAGGAAACUCUGACCCAGCGACGCCGCGUGCGGGAUGAAGGCCUUCGGGUUGUAAACCGCUUUCAGUAGGGAAGAAGCGAAAGUGACGGUACCUACAGAAGAAGCACCGGCUAACUAUGUGCCAGCAGCCGCGGUAAUACAUAGGGUGCAAGCGUUGUCCGGAAUUAUUGGGCGUAAAGAGCUCGUAGGUGGUUCGUCACGUCGGAUGUGAAAAUCUGGGGCUCAACCCCAGACCUGCAUUCGAUACGGGCGAUCUAGAGUGUGGUAGGGGAGACUGGAAUUCCUGGUGUAGCGGUGGAAUGCGCAGAUAUCAGGAGGAACACCAAUGGCGAAGGCAGGUCUCUGGGCCAUUACUGACACUGAGGAGCGAAAGCGUGGGGAGCGAACAGGAUUAGAUACCCUGGUAGUCCACGCCGUAAACGGUGGGCACUAGUUGUGGGAACCUUCCACGGUUUCUGCGACGCAGCUACGCAUAAGUAGCCCGCCGUCGGGAGGUACGANCGCAAGAAUAAACUAACAAGGAAGUUAGACGGCGUGAGACGUGCCGACGGACGACGACGAGGGAGGUAGG